UUUUAUGUAGUUUAAAAAAAACUUUAUAUUUUCAUUAUAAAAUUAAUAUUUAUUAUUCAUAAAAU
Molecule: transfer RNA, 65 nt
Filed under: Sycophila sp. 2 JXW-2020
Lineage: Eukaryota; Metazoa; Arthropoda; Insecta; Hymenoptera; Eurytomidae
Description: tRNA-Glu
Source: RNAcentral